Molecule: long non-coding RNA, 633 nt
Organism: Teleopsis dalmanni
Lineage: Eukaryota; Metazoa; Arthropoda; Insecta; Diptera; Diopsidae
Exons: 4
Source: RefSeq, a predicted model, not a curated record
AUUAAAUUGUAGAGUUAGCAAAUAGGAUGUUAAGUCAUAUUUUGGGCCCUUUCCAUCAAAAUUUUCAGUAGAAUGUAACGAAAUUUUAAAAUAAGUCAGAAUAAAAAAACAAAAUCUCUGAAAGAUAUUUAAAAAUGGUGCAAAAACGAAUACUCUGUCGCACUCUAGAAAUUGGCAGUGGUAUUCCAAAGCUAAAUUUAGUGUUUAAAUUAUAAUGAGUCGACAAACAAUAACUAAAAGUUCGCCGAUAGGAGCGCAGUUAUUGCAUUUCCCGGCUGACGGUUGAGUACUGAUAUGGCGUUUCUGUAUGAGUUACCUAAAACAAAGACACUAUAAAGUAUAUUCAUAAAAUUUCUUGUGUAUAUAUGCAAUCUUUUUAUUGAUCUGUCCAGAAUAUAUUUUACCACAUAUUUUUGAAUUACCUUGAUGUAGCAAAGACCUGACGGAACUGAAGCUAAAAUGGAAUGAACCUGCAACCGCAAGAGUAUUUACAAAUAGUUUCACGCAGAGAGAACCUUUCUUUAUAAGGGUGUUAAUCCCUCUGGAUACAAAUUUAUGCAUUAGUACAUCAGGUCUUAAAACAUUUUUUAAAAAAAGUGUUUUUUUCUUUGUUUAUUUGAAUUCAUAAAAUAU